CCUACGGGGGGCAGCAGUGAGGAAUAUUGGUCAAUGGCCGUAAGGCUGAACCAGCCAAGUCGCGUGAAGGAAGAAGGAUCUAUGGUUUGUAAACUUCUUUUAUAGGGGAAUAAAGGUAUCCACGUGUGGCUAUUUGCGUGUACCCUAUGAAUAAGCAUCGGCUAACUCCGUGCCAGCAGCCGCGGUAAUACGGAGGAUGCGAGCGUUAUCCGGAUUUAUUGGGUUUAAAGGGUGCGUAGGUUGGUUUUUAAGUCAGCGGUGAAAGUUUGUGGCUCAACCAUAAAAUUGCCGUUGAAACUGGAAGACUUGAGUGUGUUUGAGGUAGGCGGAAUGCGUGGUGUAGCGGUGAAAUGCAUAGAUAUCACGCAGAACUCCGAUUGCGAAGGCAGCUUACUAAGCCAUAACUGACACUGAAGCACGAAAGCGUGGGGAUCAAACAGGAUUAGAUACCCCUGUAGUC
RNAcentral lists this ribosomal RNA (460 nucleotides) under uncultured bacterium. Its description in RNAcentral is "partial 16S ribosomal RNA". It matches the Rfam family "Bacterial small subunit ribosomal RNA", at positions 338 to 795 of the family's 1533-position model. The record is from RNAcentral.